UAUUCCGUUAACGAACGAGACCUCAGCCUGCUAACUAGUCACAGUAGUCUUGACUGCUGGCCGGCUUCUUAGAGGGACUGAUCGAGCUUAUCGAUCGGAAGUUUGAGGCAAUAACAGGUCUGUGAUGCCCUUAGAUGUUCUGGGCCGCACGCGCCCUACAAUGAUACACACAACGAGUUUUCCUUGUCCGAAAGGUCCGGGUAGUCUUUAUCAAUGCGUAUCGUAAUAGGGAUAGAUUUUUGCAAUUCUGAAUCUUGAACGAGGAAUUCCUAGUAAAUGCGGGUCAUCAGCCCGCGUUGAUUACGUCCCUGCCCUUUGUACACACCGCCCGUCGCACCUACCGAUUGAAUGGUUCGGUGAAACUUUCGGACCGUGGUUCGGAUGCCUUCGGGCAACCUUACUGUGGGAAGUUAUUUAAACCUCAUCAUUUAGAGGAAGGUGAAGUCGUAACAAGGUUUCCGUAGGUGAACCUGCAGAAGGAUCAAUCCAUAUGACUAGUAGAUCCUCUAGAGUCGACCUGCAGGCAUGCAAGCUUUCCCUAUAGUGAGUCCGUAUUAA
RNAcentral lists this ribosomal RNA (558 nucleotides) under uncultured eukaryote. RNAcentral's name for it is "bacterial SSU rRNA". The stretch from base 1 to 487 matches the Rfam family "Eukaryotic small subunit ribosomal RNA", at positions 1321 to 1831 of the family's 1831-position model. The record is from RNAcentral.